AGGUAUCCAUGGAUAAGGAAAUUGUGAAGAAUUAUAAUAUAGGCAAGAAAGCAAUACCUGUGCGAGGAUGCAGAAGUAUUUCCAAACGAGAUAUGAUAUUCAACGAUGCUCUUCCACGUAUAAAAGUGUCUCCGGAAAAUUACAAGACAUUUAUAAUAGAAGCGUCAAAGAAUGGGGAAGAAAUAUGCACGCAUUUAACCUGUGAACCUGCCAAGAUACUGCCUUUAGCUCAGAAAUAUUUUUUAUUUUGACUUAUGAUUAUGCUUUUUAAAAAGCUGAUUUUAUUUAUAGUUUCAUUUGAAUUAAUACGAAUUUUAUGGAUUACACUUCCAAAGAAUGCAUAUGAAGUGUACAUUACUUUUGUGAAUGAAGACAUCUUUCUU
Stegodyphus dumicola is the source of this 383-nucleotide long non-coding RNA. The record is from RefSeq and is a predicted model, not a curated record. NCBI's taxonomy places the organism in Eukaryota, Metazoa, Arthropoda, Arachnida, Araneae, Eresidae.